UUCCGGUUGAUCCUGCCGGACCCGACUGCUAUCGGAUUGAUACUAAGCCAUGCGAGUCAUUGUAGCAAUACAAGGCAUACGGCUCAGUAACGCGUAGUCAACCUAACCUAUGGACGGGAAUAACCUCGGGAAACUGAGAAUAAUGCCCGAUAGAACAUUAUGCCUGGAAUGGUUUAUGUUCCAAAUGAUUUAUCGCCGUAGGAUGGGACUGCGGCCUAUCAGUUUGUUGGUGAGGUAAUGGCCCACCAAGACUAUUACAGGUACGGGCUCUGAGAGGAGUAGCCCGGAGAUGGGUACUGAGACACGGACCCAGGCCCUAUGGGGCGCAGCAGGCGAGAAAACUUUGCAAUGUGCGAAAGCACGACAAGGUUAAUCCGAGUGGUUUCUGCUAAAGGAACCUUUUGUCAGUCCUAGAAACACUGAUGAAUAAGGGGUGGGCAAGUUCUGGUGUCAGCCGCCGCGGUAAAACCAGCACCUCAAGUGGUCAGGAUGAUUAUUGGGCCUAAAGCAUCCGUAGCCGGCUCUGUAAGUUUUCGGUUAAAUCUGUACGUUCAACGUACAGGCUGCCGGGAAUACUGCAAAGCUAGGGAGUGGGAGAGGUAGACGGUACUCGGUAGGAAGGGGUAAAAUCCUUUGAUCUAUUGAUGACCACCUGUGGCGAA
RNAcentral lists this ribosomal RNA (662 nucleotides) under uncultured Nitrososphaerota archaeon. Its description in RNAcentral is "bacterial SSU rRNA". It matches the Rfam family "Archaeal small subunit ribosomal RNA", at positions 1 to 670 of the family's 1478-position model. The record is from RNAcentral. Lineage: Archaea; Thermoproteati; Nitrososphaerota.